GUUUGAUCCUGGCUCAGGAUGAACGCUAGCGGCAGGCUUAAUACAUGCAAGUCGAACGGGAUUCGAGGUAGCAAUACUUUGAUGAGAGUGGCGCACGGGUGCGUAACGCGUAUGCAACCUACCUUUAACAGGGGAAUAGCCCCGAGAAAUCGGGAUUAAUACUCCGUAACAUUGCGGUGUGGCAUCACACUGCAAUUAAAGAUUUAUCGGUUAAAGAUGGGCAUGCGUGACAUUAGCUAGUUGGUGAGGUAACGGCUCACCAAGGCAACGAUGUCUAGGGGUCCUGAGAGGGUUAUCCCCCACACUGGUACUGAGACACGGACCAGACUCCUACGGGAGGCAGCAGUAAGGAAUAUUGGUCAAUGGGCGCAAGCCUGAACCAGCCAUGCCGCGUGCAGGAAGACGGCCCUAUGGGUUGUAAACUGCUUUUAUCAGGGAAUAAACCCCCGCUCGUGAGCGGGGCUGAAGGUACCUGAAGAAUAAGCAUCGGCUAACUCCGUGCCAGCAGCCGCGGUAAUACGGAGGAUGCAAGCGUUAUCCGGAUUCAUUGGGUUUAAAGGGUGCGCAGGCGGAUUGGUAAGUCAGGGGUGAAAUCCCACAGCUCAACUGUGGAACUGCCUUUGAUACUGUCAGUCUAGAGUAUAGUUGAAGUUGGCGGAAUGUGUCAUGUAGCGGUGAAAUGCUUAGAUAUGACACAGAACACCGAUCGCGAAGGCAGCUAGCUAAGCUAUAACUGACGCUCAUGCACGAAAGCGUGGGGAUCAAACAGGAUUAGAUACCCUGGUAGUCCACGCUGUAAACGAUGAUUACUCGAUGUUGGCGAUACACAGUCAGCGUCUGAGCGAAAGCAAUAAGUAAUCCACCUGGGGAGUACGAUCGCAAGAUUGAAACUCAAAGGAAUUGACGGGGGCCCGCACAAGCGGAGGAGCAUGUGGUUUAAU
RNAcentral lists this ribosomal RNA (941 nucleotides) under uncultured Lentimicrobium sp. RNAcentral describes it as "bacterial SSU rRNA". It matches the Rfam family "Bacterial small subunit ribosomal RNA", at positions 11 to 950 of the family's 1533-position model. Lineage: Bacteria; Pseudomonadati; Bacteroidota; Bacteroidia; Bacteroidales; Lentimicrobiaceae. The record is from RNAcentral.